Molecule: transfer RNA, 77 nt
Filed under: Candidatus Peregrinibacteria bacterium
Lineage: Bacteria; Candidatus Peregrinibacteriota
Description: tRNA-Pro
Rfam family: tRNA
About the family: Transfer RNA (tRNA) molecules are approximately 80 nucleotides in length. Their secondary structure includes four short double-helical elements and three loops (D, anti-codon, and T loops).
Source: RNAcentral
CGGGGUGUAGCUCAGUUGGCUAGAGUGCAUGGUUUGGGACCAUGAGGCCGGAGGUUCGAGUCCUCUCACCCCGACCA